Molecule: long non-coding RNA, 1278 nt
Filed under: Macaca fascicularis (crab-eating macaque)
Lineage: Eukaryota; Metazoa; Chordata; Mammalia; Primates; Cercopithecidae
Description: lncRNA (ENSMFAG00000063168.1)
Source: RNAcentral
UUUUUUUCUUUUUUUUUUUAAGGUCUAUGGGUUUUGUUUUUUACAUGCAAACAUUGUAAAUUAUACAGAAGAUACCACAGAUAGCAUUUAUAAAGUAUACAGAAACAUUAUCUGAAAGCAAAGUAUGAUAGUUUGUUUUGCUAUACAGUACAUCUAUAUUGAUAGAGGUUCAUGUUUAAAUUAUACAUAUUUAUUAGCAUCGUAUUAUCAUUUGUUUUGAGCAGUCUGAAUAAACGAGACCGGGAAAAACAUCCCUGGCAGGCAUCAUAACUAUUUUGCACAUGAUUUUUAAAGGUAUUUAUUAGAAAUCAAAGAACGCUCAAAAUAAACUCAGUGCUCAAAGGGUUAAGUCUAUUUGAAAAGGUUAAAAAAAAAAAAGAACAAAAAAAAAGAACUUGUACUGUAUUUCCUAAACAUUGAUAAAGCCUUUAAAAUGUUUGUACUGUAAUACUUUGCUUAAAAGUCAUGAGGCAUUCUGUGAUCCAACCUCUUUCACUUAUUUAUAAGCCCUCUUGGUUGCUAUUCCAUAUUGUAGGAUGCCUUUCUAUUUCAAUUGGUAACUUUCUGUUUUGUUCUUCCUAAUUAUUCUCCCAAGAUCCCACACUGCAGCUUUAUCUUUAGGCUUAUGAAAGGUAACCCGUGGUUACCGGCUCUCCAAGUGAUUCUGUUCUUCUCCAUUUUUGGCAGUUAAUUUGCAGAAGUAACUGACAGCUGACACCAUAUGAGAACCUUUGUAUAAAAUAUUGGCAUGUAAACAGCACAGACACCGUAACACACUCUGUGCCCUGUUUGGUUGUUGACAAUGAAGCACCAUUAUGUGACUCUUCAUAUAACCCUUUUUUCUACGGCAGCAUUAAAAUUGUCUUUUUGCUAUAAUUUUGUGUUGCGUUCACAAUUAUGUCUGAAAUGUGCUACGACUAACGAGCACAUUAAAAUUAAAUUGUAUGCGAUCUGUUUAUGACGGAGCUGGUUGCUGCGGCUGCCAGGUGCUGGCAGUCGGAAGCUGUGCGUAAAUCAGGGGGAGUUUUAGUGAACUUUGGCGUUUGGAGAGCGGGGAGCACUUACUCAGAGGCAGCUUGAAUAGGAUCUGCACCGAGAAUAAACAUUCACAAGAAAGGAAGACUUGCCUAUAAGGUUAGAUGCUCAGUGCAGAAGGGAUAUUGCCAGACCCCCAGAUCAGAGCUUCCGGUCACACCUGGUGACCUGCGGGGGGGCUGGGAUUUGAUCUCCCUUCUGGAUGCUCGGGGGUGAGGGGCCUGCGCUGUCGAGGAGGCUGAU